CUGAAUGGCCGUCUGGCCUUCAACCUUGUAAACCUGUGGAAGCAAGAUGUGCUUCGGCGCUUCGGCGUCGCUUUUAUGCUUAAAUCAGUCUUUGUGUCUGAAUCAAAUACAAGAAAUA
This 118-nucleotide unclassified non-coding RNA is filed under the name uncultured Archaeorhizomyces. RNAcentral's name for it is "sequence contains ITS1". Lineage: Eukaryota; Fungi; Ascomycota; Archaeorhizomycetes; Archaeorhizomycetales; Archaeorhizomycetaceae. The record is from RNAcentral.